RNAcentral lists this ribosomal RNA (446 nucleotides) under uncultured bacterium. Its description in RNAcentral is "partial 16S ribosomal RNA". It matches the Rfam family "Bacterial small subunit ribosomal RNA", at positions 338 to 795 of the family's 1533-position model. The record is from RNAcentral.
CCUACGGGUGGCAGCAGUAGGGAAUUUUCGGCAAUGGGGGGAACCCUGACCGAGCAACGCCGCGUGGGGGAAUGAAGGUCUUCGGAUUGUAAACCCCUGUCAUGUGGGAGCAAAUUAAAAAGAUAGUACCACAAGAGGAAGAGACGGCUAACUCUGUGCCAGCAGCCGCGGUAAUACAGAGGUCUCAAGCGUUGUUCGGAAUCACUGGGCGUAAAGCGUGCGUAGGCUGUUUCGUAAGUCGUGUGUGAAAGGCGCGGGCUCAACCCGCGGACGGCACAUGAUACUGCGAGACUAGAGUAAUGGAGGGGGAACCGGAAUUCUCGGUGUAGCAGUGAAAUGCGUAGAUAUCGAGAGGAACACUCGUGGCGAAGGCGGGUUCCUGGACAUUAACUGACGCUGAGGCAAGAAGGCCAGGGGAGCGAAAGGGAUUAGAUACCCUGGUAGUC